GAUGAACGCUGGCGGCGUGCCUAAUACAUGCAAGUCGAGCGAACAGGCGAGGAGCUUGCUCCUCUGACGUUAGCGGCGGACGGGUGAGUAACACGUGGAUAACCUACCUAUAAGACUGGGAUAACUUCGGGAAACCGGAGCUAAUACCGGAUAACAUGUUGAACCGCAUGGUUCAACAGUGAAAGACGGUCUUGCUGUCACUUAUAGAUGGAUCCGCGCCGCAUUAGCUAGUUGGUAAGGUAACGGCUUACCAAGGCAACGAUGCGUAGCCGACCUGAGAGGGGGGAAGGCCACACGAGGACGGAGACAGGGUAGAGACGCAGACGGGAGGGAGCAGGAGGCAAGCUUCCGCAAUGGGCGGAAAAUUGACGGAGCAGAGACGAGGGAGGGAUGAAGGUUUUCGGAGAGUAGAACGCGGUGACUAGGGAAGAAAACAUGUGCAAGUAAAAGUGCGCAUCGUGACGGGAGCUAAUCAGAAAGCCACGGCCAACUACGUG
This 497-nucleotide ribosomal RNA is filed under the name uncultured bacterium. RNAcentral describes it as "partial 16S ribosomal RNA". It matches the Rfam family "Bacterial small subunit ribosomal RNA", at positions 28 to 507 of the family's 1533-position model. The record is from RNAcentral.